AACUUUACAAUGCCGGCAACGGCGAUAAGGGGACCUCGAGUGCCAGGUUACAAAUCUGGCUGCCGUGAUGCCUAAAAAGCAUUGCAUAGCAAGGGCCGGGCAAGACCGGUGCCAGCCGCCGCGGUAACACCGGCGGCUCGAGUGGUAACCGUUAUUAUUGGGUCUAAAGGGUCUGUAGCCGGCCGGAUAAGUCUCUUGAGAAAUCUGGCAGCUUAACUGUCAGGCUUUCAGGAGAUACUGUCUGGCUCGAGGCCGGGAGAGGUGAGAGGUACUUCAGGGGUAGGGGUGAAAUCUUGUAAUCCUUGAAGGACCACCAGUGGCGAAGGCGUCUCACCAGAACGGACCUGACGGCAAGGGACGAAAGCUAGGGGCACGAACCGGAUUAGAUACCCGGGUAGUCCUAGCCGUAAACGAUACUCGCUAGGUGUCGGCCACGGUGCGACCGUUGUCGGUGCCGUAGGGAAGCCGUGAAGCGAGC
This 478-nucleotide ribosomal RNA is filed under the name uncultured archaeon. Its description in RNAcentral is "bacterial SSU rRNA". It matches the Rfam family "Archaeal small subunit ribosomal RNA", at positions 346 to 824 of the family's 1478-position model. The record is from RNAcentral.